GAUGAACGCUGGCGGCGUGCCUAAUACAUGCAAGUCGAGCGAACAGACGAGGAGCUUGCUCCUCUGACGUUAGCGGCGGACGGGUGAGUAACACGUGGAUAACCUACCUAUAAGACUGGGAUAACUUCGGGAAACCGGAGCUAAUACCGGAUAAUAUAUUGAACCGCAUGGUUCAAUAGUGAAAGACGGUUUUGCUGUCACUUAUAGAUGGAUCCGCGCCGCAUUAGCUAGUUGGUAAGGUAACGGCUUACCAAGGCAACGAUGCGUAGCCGACCUGAGAGGGUGAUCGGCCGCACUAGAGCUGGGACACGGUCCAGACUCCUACGAGAGGCAGCAGUAGGGAAUCUUCCGCAAUGGGCGAAAGCAUGACGGAGCAGCGCCGCGUGAGUGAUGAAGGUCUUCGGAUCGUAAAACUCUGUUAUUAGGGAAGAACAAAUGUGUAAGUAACUAUGCACGUCUUGACGGUACCUAAUCAGAAAGCCACGGCUAACUACGUG
RNAcentral lists this ribosomal RNA (497 nucleotides) under uncultured bacterium. Its description in RNAcentral is "partial 16S ribosomal RNA". It matches the Rfam family "Bacterial small subunit ribosomal RNA", at positions 28 to 507 of the family's 1533-position model. The record is from RNAcentral.